AAGACUGUGACCUCUACCCCAUGGAGGAUGCCCAUCGCCUGAGGAUGAACCCCCACUCCAGAUCAAAAUAUAAAGGAGCAGGGUUGCAGCUCACCUGGGCUGGGGAUUACCCGGACUCUUCAGAAAACAAAACUUACACUUUGUCAUGGAGCAGCUAGAAAUUCACCUCAACAUACUCAAUAAUUCAGCAUGUUUGAGCACAUAUUCCAUGCCAGGCACAGUGCUGGAACAGGGACAGCUGGAACAAAGUGGGAGACCCUCUAGCCACCAGGAUCCCAGAGAAGAAGCGAAGUGACUUGCCUAGAACACCAACCAAAAAUGACGGAGCCAAAAGGGCCAGAGCUGGGUCAAGGAGGAAGGAGGAGAAGGAAGAGCAUCCUUUAGCCGCCCUCUGACUCUGCCUUUUCGGGUCUCGCUCCUGGCCUCACUGUAGACAUCAUCCCCAGGCACACCUCCUCCGCACCUCCUUCCUGCUAUAGAGUACAGUCCCACAGGCGAGCCAACCCGGUCACAAAUGCCCUGAGACUUGCACCUUUCUCCUGAAACGGAGUGCUCUGGCCGGCUUUCGUAUCCCCCUUAGCCCUGCUCCUCAUCUCUGGGGCUGCUUUACCUGCAAAGUCUAAUCAAGAAAGGGAUGGGGACGCUGAGAAGGAGGAGUCUUUACCCGAAUCCUGUUCCCAUUUCUACCACCAGCAGCACCCCUUAGGCGAGUUAAGCUUUGGGACCAAAGGGGUCCACUCGGUUUCUCUGAGAAACUGGCAGAUCCUAUUUUUCAGAGUCAUCUGCAACAAUGUCUCCUUGCAAGGUGGCUUUGACUCCCCCACGGGGAGGUGGGGCCUAGGUUCCCUCCCUCUGAACCUGGCAGUCACAGAAAGAACACUCUCGUGACCGCCAAGGCCAGGUCAUAAAAGGUGCUACCACUUCUGCCUGGAUGCCUUCUAUAAUUGUCAUCCUCACUGACCUGACACAGAGAAGUUCAACGUCCAAAGGUCCAAGAAAGGUGGAGGCGAGACAGGGACUAGGACUUGGCCGCACUGUGCCCUGAGUCGGGAUGCAGGGCUGGUUGUGGCUGAUUCCCAUGCCCCACAGCUGAGCCCUUUUCCCCACUGGCACUUUGAUCCACCUCCAGGCACGUGACCUAAGUCCCUAUGGGGCACAAUGCUAAACAGGUGACAUGCACCCAGAGGCAAAAGGGGAAAUGGACCAUCUCCCUGGGACAAGGCAGCUGGUAUAGCUACUGUUGGGUGACAGUCGCCCUGCAGGAAGGAGGGCUUGGUCCUGGGGCUAGGUCCUCCCACCUCCACUUUCACUUCCAUGACUCCUACUGGCUUCAGAGCAUGAAGGAUCCUCUGACCCUGGAAUCUUACCUCGAGCACCUCUGCCAAGGAAAGGGGAGAGAAGUUGCCUUUCCACUGUAGGCCACCUUUUAUGUCUUAGUAGAGUGCUGGGGCAUUUUGAUCCAGGGAGGCAGAAGGAGGCACAAGAGGAGACAGACACAGACAAAGGGAGGCAGAGACUGCUGAGAGCUCAGGAGAUGAGUCUGGCUCAGCAGGGCCUGUGGUUUGCCCACUCUGUGCUCUGCACCAAGGGUUAAAAGGUGCCCUGUCCUCAGGAUACUUGAAAUCUAGUGGGGAUUUGGACACCGACAUAAACAAAGUCAUGUACUAAGGAAGCUGAGCUUGGUAAAGAAAGCAGAAGUAAAGAGCUGGGCCCCACAAACUCUGAGCUCCAGAGAAGGCUGCAAAGAGAAGGCUGAGUUCUGAAGGCUCUGUCCAGUGCCUUUCACCCCAAGGCCUUCGUAGUGUUAACACAGCAUUUACGUGUUUAAGUCCUCCCUACGUGUCAGGCAUGAUUUUACGCCCUUGACUUGUUUGACUUCAUUUAAUCAUCGACAAGUCUAGGUGGCUGAUACUCUUACCUGUUUGUUUGUUUAUUUAUUUAUUUUUGAGACAGUGUCGCUUGCCCCAGGCUAGAGUGCAGCAGUGUGAUCAUAGCUCACUGCCAUCUUGAAUUCCUCUGCUCAAGUCAUCCUCCCACAUCAGCCUCCCAAGCAGCUGGGACUACAGGUGUGCACCAUCAUGGCCAGCUAACUUUGUACUGUCUGUAGAGACGGAAUUUUGCUAUGUUACCCAGGCUGGUCUCAAACCCGAGGGCUCAAGCAAUCCUCCUGCCUCAGCCUCCCAAAGUCCUGGGAUUAAAGGCAUGAGUCACCAUGCCCAGCCAGUGGUUGAAACUCUUAUUAUGGCCAUUCUGCGGAUGAGAAGACUGAGUCAUCAGGAGGCAGGGCUUGCCAAGGUCACUGUGUUGGGGAAACACAGUCAGGAUAUGAACUCAGGCUCUUGGGGUCCCUGCUGGUCACUGUCACCCCGUGGCCCUUCUGAAGAAUGUCACAGGAAAGCAAAGCUGAGAGGGCCUCGUGAACUCAUCCAUGCCUGUCUCCCACACUGACCUGCACCUUUGGUCCCAGAGGUGCUUAUGAAAGACAGAUGCUCAGAUCCCUCCUUAGAGAGUCAGAUUCAGGAGGUCUGAUGUGAAUCCCAGAGACCUGGAAUUUUACUGAUGGCCCAGAUAAUUUUUAUGGUCAGAUACUGACCUAAUUCCACCCAGUUUCCCACUAAAUUUUGUAAGUGAGGAAAGCAAUGCAGAAGAGUUACAGGAAGGCCCAGUGUUACAUGCCCAGGUCAUGGCCCAGGGCCAAGCCAGCCCCAAAGGUGGGACCCUGGUUCUCUUAGCCUUCCCUGACACCUGUCACCCUGGCUGCUGCUCCAGGGAACCCUCUCUCGGGAGAAGCUUGAGCAAAUGUUGAUCUUCCCAGAACAGGGGUCUACAGAAUCCAGAGGUGUGGAAACAGUGGGAUGCUAAUAGCUGUUAGAAUUUUGGUUCAUCCAUAGAUCCAAACUUUGAAGCAUUGAGACAAAAGAUAGCUGUGCUUUGAUAGAGAAAAUAGAUAAGAAAAGGGUGUGAAAUCUGAGUGUCACAACAGAGGCAGAAGCAGAUGGAAACUAGGUUUCUGGAGUAGGGGAGGUGGGGACCAACUUUGUUUCUCCUGCUUUUACCUUGUCCUAGUUGGAAUCAUCUCUCCUCAUCCCAGUUACAAAGCCAGAGAGGAUUUACAGUCAAAGCAUCUACACCAGCAGUCCCUCUUACUGACACUGAUCAGACAGGGAGGUAGAACUGAUGGAAAACACAGCACAGCAUCAGAAGCAUAGCUUGGGAGCUUAUUAGCAGCAAAGUGCUGUUCUCUGCGGCAUUUUCUGGUGCUCCAGAAAUACAUCCCCUUGGAUGGAGAUACUACCGGGCCAUCUAAUGUGAAAUUUUCUGCUGGAGUGGUUAACGCUGGAGAUUUCCUUGAAAAACAUCGCCACUGAGAGAGGCUGGCUUCAAGUUUCAUAUAUAUGUAUAUGUAUCUGUGUGUGUGUGUGUGUAUGUGUGUGUCCAUGUGUGUGUAU
This 3449-nucleotide long non-coding RNA is filed under the name Homo sapiens (human). Its description in RNAcentral is "long non-coding RNA NONHSAT216895.1". Lineage: Eukaryota; Metazoa; Chordata; Mammalia; Primates; Hominidae. The record is from RNAcentral.